UACUUAUCUACUUGCCAAUUAGUGGGGGAUUAAAUACCGCAUACUCUGACUUCGGUCAGGAAAGGGUUCCGCAAGGGCCCGCUAAUUGAGAGGGAUAAGGCGUAUUAGCUAGUUGGUGGGGUAAUGGCCUACCAAGGUAAUGAUGCGUAGCCGGCCUAAGAGGGUGAACGGCCACAAGGGAACUGAGACACGGUCCCUACUCCUACGGGAGGCAGAAGGAGGAAACAUUUCGCAAUGGACGCAAGUCUAACGGAGUGAUACUACGUGAAGGACGAAGGUCUACGGAUUGUAAACUUCUUUACUAGUAGGUACUGCUUUCGGGCUUGCCUGCUAGCAAAAAGUCACGACUAACUAUGUGCCAGCAGUCGCGGUAAGACAUAGGUGGCAAACGUUAUCCGGAAUUACUGGGCGUAAAGGGUGCGUAGGUGGUUUAAUAAGUUACUGGUGGGAAAUCGGGGCCCAACCCCGUGGAAGUCAGUAAUACUAUUAAACUAGAGGGCCGGAGAGGUUAACGGAAUUCUAUGUGUAGCGGUAAAAUGCUCAAAUAUAUAGAGGAACACCAAUUGGCGAAGGCAGUUAACUAUUCGGCGCCUGACGUUGAGGCACGAAAGCGUGGGGAGCAAGACGGAUUAGAUACCCGAGUAGUCCACGCCCUAAACGAUGAGUACUAGAUAUUGGGAACUUGAUUUUCAGUGUCGCAAGAUAACUCGGUAAGUACUCCGCCUGGGUAGUACGGUCGCAAGGCUAAAACUCAAAGGAAUUGACGGGAACUCACACAAGCAGUGGAGCAUGUGGUUUAAUCCGAUAUGACGCGUAGAACCUUACCGGGGCUUGACAUGUUCGGCAAAACUAGGGAAACCUAGCGGAGGUUAUCCGGACACAGGUGUUGCAUGGCCAUCGUCAGUUCGUGUUGUGAGAUGUAUGGUUUAGUCCUAUUAACGAACGAAACCCUUGUGCUUAGUUGCUAACAGGUAAGGCUGAGGACUCUAAGCAGACUGCCAAGGCAACUUGGAGGAAGGCGAGGAUCACGUCUGGUCGUC
Molecule: ribosomal RNA, 1040 nt
Filed under: Candidatus Moeniiplasma glomeromycotorum
Lineage: Bacteria; Bacillati; Mycoplasmatota; Mollicutes; Mycoplasmatales; Mycoplasmataceae
Description: bacterial SSU rRNA
Rfam family: Bacterial small subunit ribosomal RNA
Source: RNAcentral